This 1037-nucleotide ribosomal RNA is filed under the name Providencia stuartii. RNAcentral describes it as "partial 23S ribosomal RNA". It matches the Rfam family "Bacterial large subunit ribosomal RNA", at positions 162 to 1239 of the family's 2925-position model. Lineage: Bacteria; Pseudomonadati; Pseudomonadota; Gammaproteobacteria; Enterobacterales; Morganellaceae. The record is from RNAcentral.
AUACAUAGUCAAACGAAGCGAACCGGGGGAACUGAAACAUCUCAGUACCCCGAGGAAAAGAAAUCAACCGAGAUUCCCCUAGUAGCGGCGAGCGAACGGGGAGCAGCCCAGAGUCUUAAUCAGCAUCAGCAUCAGGAGAACGGUCUGGAAAGUCCGGCAGUAAAGGGUGAUAGCCCCGUAUCCGAAGGUGUUGGUGUUGUGAACUCGACGAGUAGGGCGGGACACGUGUUAUCCUGUCUGAAUAUGGGGGGACCAUCCUCCAAGGCUAAAUACUCCUGAUUGACCGAUAGUGAACCAGUACCGUGAGGGAAAGGCGAAAAGAACCCCGGCGAGGGGAGUGAAAUAGAACCUGAAACCGUGUACGUACAAGCAGUGGGAGCACCUUCGGGUGUGACUGCGUACCUUUUGUAUAAUGGGUCAGCGACUUAUAUUCUGUAGCAAGGUUAACCGUAUAGGGGAGCCGUAGGGAAACCGAGUCUUAACUGGGCGAAUGAGUUGCAGGGUAUAGACCCGAAACCCGGUGAUCUAGCCAUGGGCAGGUUGAAGGUUGGGUAACACUAACUGGAGGACCGAACCGACUAAUGUUGAAAAAUUAGCGGAUGACUUGUGGCUGGGGGUGAAAGGCCAAUCAAACCGGGAGAUAGCUGGUUCUCCCCGAAAGCUAUUUAGGUAGCGCCUCGUGAACUCAUCUUCGGGGGUAGAGCACUGUUUCGACUAGGGGGUCAUCCCGACUUACCAACUCGAUGCAAACUACGAAUACCGAAGAAUGUUAUCACGGGAGACACACGGCGGGUGCUAACGUUCGUCGUGAAGAGGGAAACAACCCAGACCGCCAGCUAAGGUCCCAAAGUCAUGGUUAAGUGGGAAACGAAGUGGGAAGGCUCAGACAGCCAGGAUGUUGGCUUAGAAGCAGCCAUCAUUUAAAGAAAGCGUAAUAGCUCACUGGUCGAGUCGGCCUGCGCGGAAGAUGUAACGGGGCUAAACCAUGCACCGAAGCUGCGGCAGCGACAUUUAGAUGUUGUUGGGUAGGGGAGCGU